This is a long non-coding RNA of Ochotona curzoniae (black-lipped pika), 550 nucleotides long. RefSeq lists it as uncharacterized. The transcript is spliced from 5 exons. NCBI's taxonomy places the organism in Eukaryota, Metazoa, Chordata, Mammalia, Lagomorpha, Ochotonidae. The record is from RefSeq and is a predicted model, not a curated record.
UUAAUGCAAAUGGAGACCAGAUUGCAGAAAGUCAGCAAUCAUCCCGCCAAUCUUGGACAACAAAUCUUGUUCACAAGAUGGGACUGAAGAAGCUGAAAUGAAACCCUUUGGUGAUGUCAGCAAUGGGUUAAAGGGAAUUGUCAUGAGAAAAGCUGCCCCAUUGUGACACCUUCAUUAUCUGGCUAUUCCUGAUGAAGCUUUUGGGAUGGCCUGAUUUAUUCAGCACAGACACAUUCAAGUUUCCAGUGUGGUUCUGUUUACUGCAUCAAGCUGAUGGAUGGGGAAAAGUCAAGACUUACAAAAAAUGGAAAUUUCACAUGUCAGACCUGCAACACCUAUGAAACAGAAGGAAACGUCUGUUUGGAAGCUGAGCAGAGGUGUGGCAGUUCAAGACACAGGAGAUGAAAUUCUGAGGGCCUGGUGGAGAAGGAAUGAGAGCAGGGAACUGAAUCCAAGGUGCGUUUGAUCUGUUGGUUUAUGGAGUGCUUCACUACUGGCUUGGAGGUGAACAGAACAUUAAUUUGGUAAUUAUUGAGGAAUGACAUUGAAA